AACGAACGCUGGCGGCAGGCUUAACACAUGCAAGUCGAACGCACCUUUCGGGGUUAGUGGCAGACGGGUGAGUAACGCGUGGGAAUCUACCCUUCUCUACGGGAUAGCUCCGGGAAACUGGAAUUAAUACCGUAUACGUCCUGCGGGAUAAAGAUUUAUCGGGGAAGGAUGAGCCCGCGUUGGAUUAGCUAGUUGGUGGGGUAAAGGCCUACCAAGGCGACGAUCCAUAGCUGGUCUAAGAGGAUGAUCAGCGACAUUGGGACUGAGACACGGCCCAAACUCCUACGGGAGGCAGCAGUGGGGAAUAUUGGACAAUGGGCGCAAGCCUGAUCCAGCCAUGCCGCGUGAGUGAUGAAGGCCCUAGGGUUGUAAAGCUCUUUCAGUGGGGACGAUAAUGACGGUACCCACAGAAGAAGCCCCGGCUAACUUCGUG
RNAcentral lists this ribosomal RNA (433 nucleotides) under uncultured bacterium. RNAcentral describes it as "partial 16S ribosomal RNA". It matches the Rfam family "Bacterial small subunit ribosomal RNA", at positions 29 to 507 of the family's 1533-position model. The record is from RNAcentral.